AUCAGCUUUGGUGCUCAAAUCUGAAUGUAUCUGCCCAAAUCUCUUGAGGGUUUGUUUUGGUAAGUUAGCUUUAUUCAAAAUAAUGCAAUUUUUAGUUUACCAAUCUUCAGUUCUUUGUGUUGCUUGAAUAAAACAUUUCGGCUUCUUCAGAAUGAAACAGUUAAAAAUGCUGCUAUUGUUCAUAUUUAUAUGCUUCUAUUAUGUCUGUUUGAAUUUGGGAAUUUUUG
RNAcentral lists this long non-coding RNA (227 nucleotides) under Panax ginseng (ginseng). RNAcentral's name for it is "long non-coding RNA (PGIN_LNC009069)". Lineage: Eukaryota; Viridiplantae; Streptophyta; Magnoliopsida; Apiales; Araliaceae. The record is from RNAcentral.